GUCAGCACCACCAUGAUGAGACUCGCCACCCUGCUGGUUCUGCUGUGCCUGUGCUCGAUGGCGAUGGCUUCUAUAUCUGACUCUGCAGGUGACGCUGAGGAGAAAUCACUCAGAGCUGUAAAAGUUUUCACUGUAUAUGGAGUAGCAAGAGGAUAAGGAUUUGGAAGAUCACCAACGUAUUGAGGAUGAUCUUUCAGGACUUCUUUAACUUGCCCUAAAGGACCAACCAGACCAAUCAUAACCAAGAAAGAAGAACUAAAGAGAAUGUCCAUUAAUGUCAAAUAAACACAAAUGC
Long non-coding RNA from Polypterus senegalus (gray bichir), 295 nucleotides. RefSeq lists it as uncharacterized. The transcript has 4 exons. The record is from RefSeq and is a predicted model, not a curated record. Lineage: Eukaryota; Metazoa; Chordata; Cladistia; Polypteriformes; Polypteridae.